AACGGGGCGACCUGCCUUCGGGCGGGGGCUCCGGGUGGACACUUCAAACUCUUGCGUAACUUUGCAGUCUGAGUAAACUUAAUUAAUAAAUUAAAACUUUUAACAACGUGAUCUCUUGGUUCUAGGCAUCGAUGAAGAACGCAGCGAAAUGCGAUAAGUAAUGUGAAUUGCAGAAUUCAGUGAAUCAUCGAAUCUUUGAACGCACAUUGCGCCCCCUGGUAUUCCUGGGGGGCAUGCCUGUUCGAGCGUCAUUUCACCACUCAAGCCUCGCUUGGUAUUGGGCAACGCGGUCCGCCGCCUGCCUCAAAUCGACCGGCUGGGUCUUCUGUCCCCUAAGCGUUGUGGAAACUAUUCGCUAAAGGGUGUUCGGGAGGCUACGCCUGUAAAACAACCCCAUUUCUAAGAAUGACCUCGAUCAGUA
Molecule: ribosomal RNA, 421 nt
Filed under: Cladosporium cladosporioides
Lineage: Eukaryota; Fungi; Ascomycota; Dothideomycetes; Cladosporiales; Cladosporiaceae
Description: eukaryotic LSU rRNA
Rfam family: 5.8S ribosomal RNA (bases 95-251)
Source: RNAcentral